AGAAAAGUAAGUGCAAGUAUCUUAACACAAAAAAGUUAGGUCAAGGUGUAGCCCAUGAGAUGGGAAGCAAUGGGCUACAUUUUCUAAAAGUAGAACCCCCUU
Lynx canadensis (Canada lynx) is the source of this 102-nucleotide long non-coding RNA. RefSeq lists it as uncharacterized. The record is from RefSeq and is a predicted model, not a curated record. Lineage: Eukaryota; Metazoa; Chordata; Mammalia; Carnivora; Felidae. The transcript has 3 exons.